UGUGGGAGCGGGCUUGCUCGCGAUGCAGGCGCUUCAGUCUGUGCUUUUUACGCGCUGAUGCUAUCGCGAGCAAGCCCGCUCCCACA
RNAcentral lists this non-coding RNA (86 nucleotides) under Pseudomonas psychrophila. The record is from RNAcentral. Lineage: Bacteria; Pseudomonadati; Pseudomonadota; Gammaproteobacteria; Pseudomonadales; Pseudomonadaceae.